UCGAGAAUAUUCCGCAAUGGCCGAAAGGCUGACGGAGCGACGCCGCGUGAUGGAUGAAGGCCUUCGGGUCGUAAACAUCUUUUUUCAGGGACGAACGUUGACGGUACCUGAAGAAUAAGAGGUUGCUAACUCUGUGCCAGCAGCAGCGGUAAUACAGAGACCUCAAGCAUUAUCCGGAUUUAUUGGGCGUAAAGGGUCCGCAGGUGGCAUGGUAAGUUGUUGGUCAAAUCUCCGUGCUCAACACGGAAACUGCCGACAAUACUGCCAAGCUAGAGACAGGGAGAGGUAAGCAGAAUUGCCGGUGUAGGGGUAAAAUCCGUUAAUAUCGGCAAGAAUACCAAAGGCGAAGGCAGCUUACUGGAACUGUUCUGACACUCAGGGACGAAAGCGUGGGGAGCGAAGCAG
RNAcentral lists this ribosomal RNA (405 nucleotides) under uncultured bacterium. RNAcentral's name for it is "bacterial SSU rRNA". It matches the Rfam family "Bacterial small subunit ribosomal RNA", at positions 355 to 776 of the family's 1533-position model. The record is from RNAcentral.